Molecule: ribosomal RNA, 456 nt
Filed under: uncultured Glomus
Lineage: Eukaryota; Fungi; Glomeromycota; Glomeromycetes; Glomerales; Glomeraceae
Description: SSU rRNA
Rfam family: Eukaryotic small subunit ribosomal RNA
Source: RNAcentral
AGCAGCCGCGGUAAUUCCAGCUCCAAUAGCGUAUAUUAAAGUUGUUGCAGUUAAAAAGCUCGUAGUUGAAUUUCGGGAUCAAUUUGCUGGUCGUGCCUCUGGUACGUACUGGUAUUAUUGGUUUCUCCCUUCUGACGAACCAUGAUGUCAUUAAUUUGAUGUCGUGGAGAAUCAGGACUGUUACUUUGAAAAAUUAGAGUGUUUAAAGCAGGCAUUAGCUUGAAUACAUUAGCAUGGAAUAAUGAAAUAGGACGUUUGAUCCUAUUUUGUUGGUUUCUAGGAUUGACGUAAUGAUUAAUAGGGAUAGUUGGGGGCAUUAGUAUUCAAUUGUCAGAGGUGAAAUUCUUGGAUUUUAUUGAAGACUAACUACUGCGAAAGCAUUUGCCAAGGAUGUUUUCAUUAAUCAAGAACGAAAGUUAGGGGAUCGAAGACGAUCAGAUACCGUCGUAGUCUUAA